AGCAGAUGCCUCUGUUUCUUGAGCUGACUUCCAGAUUCUGAGAAAUAAAUGAAGAGUGGAGGCUUGUUUUGGUAGAGGCUGAGAAAAGGAGUUGGCCAUAUUUGCCCUUCAGAACUUCGUGUCAUCCCCCAGCUCCCCAACGGCAGGGCCACAUUCUUUCACAGGACGGAGUUGGGGCAGAUUAUGGCUUCCUCUGGAUUGGAUUUCCCUUGGCUUCCCUGAGGGCAAUCCCCCGAGGAAGCACAUCCUGGAGCCAAACUCACCCAAUGAACCACAGCAACAGCUCCUAGGAGAAUGAAGAGUGUGAAUGGAUGGCCUUUUCAAAAUGAUGAGCCUGGAAGAGUUACAGACUCUGGCCCGAAAGAACCAAAGUUGAAGGUAGAGAUGUUUUAAGGAUGAGCAGAGCAGAACAACUUAGCAGUGGGAUGUUAAAGGCAACAUGAAUCAACCACUCCCUGCUAGAAUGGAAGAUUCAUGGGAGCAG
RNAcentral lists this long non-coding RNA (484 nucleotides) under Homo sapiens (human). RNAcentral describes it as "non-protein coding lnc-HDAC2-4:16". The record is from RNAcentral. Lineage: Eukaryota; Metazoa; Chordata; Mammalia; Primates; Hominidae.